GACGAACGCUGGCGGCGUGCCUAAUACAUGCAAGUUGAGCGCUGAAGCUUUGUUCUUGUCCCCUCUGGAUGAGCCGCGAACGGGUGAGUAACGCGUGUGGCAUCUGCCUUUGAGUGGGGGACAACAUUUGGAAACGAAUGCUAAUACCGCAUAAAAACUUUAAACACAAGGUUUAAGUUUGAAAGAUGCAAUUGCAUCACUCAAAGAUGAUUCCUCGUUGUGUUAGCUAGUUGGUGAGGUAAAGGCUCACCAAGGCGUGGCUACAUAGCCGAACUGAGAGGGCGGUCGGCCACAUUGGGAGUGAGACACGGCCCAAACGCCCACGGGAGGGAGCAGGAGGGAAACUUGGGCAAUGGAUGGAAGUCUGAGCGAACAACGCCGCGGGAGUGAAGAAGGUUUUCGGAUCGUAAAACACUGUUGGUAGGGAAGAACGUGGUUGAGAGUGGAAAGCUCAUCAAGUGACGGUAACUACCCAGAAAGCAACGGCUAACUACGUG
This 497-nucleotide ribosomal RNA is filed under the name uncultured bacterium. RNAcentral's name for it is "partial 16S ribosomal RNA". It matches the Rfam family "Bacterial small subunit ribosomal RNA", at positions 28 to 507 of the family's 1533-position model. The record is from RNAcentral.